Helianthus annuus (common sunflower) is the source of this 327-nucleotide long non-coding RNA. RefSeq lists it as uncharacterized. NCBI's taxonomy places the organism in Eukaryota, Viridiplantae, Streptophyta, Magnoliopsida, Asterales, Asteraceae. The transcript is spliced from 4 exons. The record is from RefSeq and is a predicted model, not a curated record.
AUCUAACAGAUUGAACAUGUUUAUUUUUUUCUUAAACCAAAAUCACAUCAGAUGUUUUUUGUUGAUUUUUGUUAUGUAUAAAAUCAAGUUUCCGGGUUUUUCUUAAUCAUCUAUUCCACAUUUAUCGCAGUUAAUGAUUUUGGUUGUUGUAUUUUUCAUGUGGUUCCUUACAUCCGUUAUAACAAUCUGAAUCCCACCAUUCGUCAAGCAACAAAGUUAUAGAGAUUUAUUUCUGAACCGAGUCUGUCCUCCAUAGUUUUUUCUGAUAUCCGACCAUAAAUCUUGAAGGUAAAUGGGGAUAUCUACAAAUUUUGAUGGUACACGACU